This 86-nucleotide ribosomal RNA is filed under the name Bacillus pseudomycoides. RNAcentral describes it as "partial 16S ribosomal RNA". It matches the Rfam family "Bacterial small subunit ribosomal RNA", at positions 1 to 85 of the family's 1533-position model. The record is from RNAcentral. RNAcentral also lists the same sequence under 1 other name. Lineage: Bacteria; Bacillati; Bacillota; Bacilli; Caryophanales; Bacillaceae.
UUUAUUGGAGAGUUUGAUCCUGGCUCAGGAUGAACGCUGGCGGCGUGCCUAAUACAUGCAAGUCGAGCGAAUGGAUUAAGAGCUUG